RNAcentral lists this ribosomal RNA (220 nucleotides) under uncultured bacterium. RNAcentral describes it as "partial 16S ribosomal RNA". It matches the Rfam family "Bacterial small subunit ribosomal RNA", at positions 524 to 741 of the family's 1533-position model. The record is from RNAcentral.
UACGAAGGGGCUAGCGUUGCUCGGAAUCACUGGGCGUAAAGCGCACGUAGGCGGACUCUUAAGUCGGUGGUGAAAUCCUGGAGCUCAACUCCAGAACUGCCUUCGAUACUGGGAGUCUCGAGUUCGGGAAGAGGUGAGUGGAACUGCGAAGUGUAGAGGUGAAAUUCGUAGAUAUUCGCAAGAACACCAGUGGCGAAGGCGGCUCACUGGCCCGAUAACU